Lepus europaeus (European hare) is the source of this 294-nucleotide long non-coding RNA. RefSeq lists it as uncharacterized. The transcript has 3 exons. The record is from RefSeq and is a predicted model, not a curated record. NCBI's taxonomy places the organism in Eukaryota, Metazoa, Chordata, Mammalia, Lagomorpha, Leporidae.
UGGCCCAAGUCCUUGGGCCCCUGUAUCCAUGUGGGAGACCUGGAAGAAGCUCCUGGCUUCUGGCCUUGGAUCGGUGCAACUCCGGCCAUUGUGGCUAUCUGAGGAGUGAACCAUCAGAUGGAAGACCUCUCUCUAAGUCUGAGGUAUGAUUCUGGGCACCUUCACAUAUUUCCAAGACUAAACAAAAUUAUUACAUACCCUGUGAUGCUAACAUUUGAAGACCUGGCUGUUUACUUUACCUGGGAGGAAUGGCAGAACAUGAACAAAGCUCAGAAAAUUCUGUACAGGGAUGUG